RNAcentral lists this ribosomal RNA (253 nucleotides) under uncultured bacterium. RNAcentral's name for it is "partial 16S ribosomal RNA". It matches the Rfam family "Bacterial small subunit ribosomal RNA", at positions 524 to 776 of the family's 1533-position model. The record is from RNAcentral.
UACGUAGGUGGCGAGCGUUGUCCGGAAUUACUGGGUGUAAAGCGCGUGUAGGCGGGAGGCCAAGUCUGCUGUGAAAUCGCCCGGCUCAACUGGGCGGGGUCGGUGGAAACUGGUCACCUGGAGGACGGUAGAGGCGAGUGGAAUUCCCGGUGUAGUGGUGAAAUGCGUAGAGAUCGGGAGGAACACCAGUGGCGAAGGCGGCUCGCUGGGCCGGCCCUGACGCUGAGACGCGAAGGCGUGGGGAGCGAACAGG